Long non-coding RNA from Ictalurus punctatus (channel catfish), 3377 nucleotides. NCBI's taxonomy places the organism in Eukaryota, Metazoa, Chordata, Actinopteri, Siluriformes, Ictaluridae. The record is from Ensembl.
AAAAACAAAGAAAGAAAGUGUUACACCAGGAUAAAAAUGACACAGAACCAAACUGGAAGGGGGGAAGAAGAAAAAAAAACCCUACCUACCGGAGCACCCGUCUUGAGAUAUAUCCAUUUACUCUGUAUAUGUACAUUCUGCUUUGUAGUCUAAUUGAUGAACUUAAAUAUUUAACGCAAAGUGACUGUCUGAGAAAACAGACAAAGACGAACUGAAUCAAAUAUUGUACAUAGCUGUAGGAUAUUAUACAGAAUCUCAUUUUCUCUCCAGAACCUGCUGGAAUGAAUAGGAUUCAUUUGUAAACCAAAUUCGCGAGGAAUUAAUCAAUCUUCAACAUAACAUUCUGUGAAGUUUGGUGCAUUUGUUCCUAGCGGAGCUUCUGAAAUGGAAAAUCAACUAAAAGACCUGAAGCACAACCUCAGGCACAAGAUGGAUACUUACAAGGGAAGGUCUCGAGCACAGUUAGAGCACCUUCUCUGCUGUUUCAGAGGACUAGGACGGAAAAUAAUCGGGAAAAGUCGAACUCUAGCUGUAUGGCUUUAAUGCGAGAAAGCUAUGAGCUCAUCAAAACGAUGCAAUCCUUACAGCAGAGGACGCUGUUGCUGUUCCCCUGCUGUAUCCUGUACAAUUUUAUAUCGAUUCAAGGAUAAUUAAGCAUACUUGUGUAAGGAUCACUAUCCGAAGCAUCUCAUUUACUUGGAAAUCAACGCAUUCUGCUGGGGAAAAAAAAAAAGAAAAGUUUCGACGUCGAUUUGUUCGAAUACCGAAAUAUCGUGCUACACGUCGCGUAUCGUAGUCCGUAAGAAUCGCGAUGUGAACUUUUUAUCAUUUCAGAAGACUUCUAACUGCAGGGUUAUCAGAAAUUGUUGAAUUUUAUGUUAGGAAUAAUGACGUGACCAAUCAUAUAUUAAGGAGCCCGGUUCAUUUAAAAACAAACCUUGCUAAUAUUUUGUCCGGAGUGACCGACGGAAAAGGUGACAUACUUUUAAUUCAACAGUACAUCAUGAUCAGAAUCAGCUAAAACACCCUGUCGCAAUUCUUUUCUCUCUCAGAGAAUGAAAAAGUGCCUAUGCUGAUGAAUAAUUUCAUUACAGUGCUAAAGAGGACACGCACUGCAGUUACAGCUUUCCGUCACUAGAGGGAGACACAUGACUGAUUUAUAAACUACACAACUUCGUCUUUUUUUUUUUUUUUUUUAAAUCCUUAAAUUGGAUGUUGCUCAGUUAUUCAAGUUCAUUUCCACACCCCACAGACAUAUUAACAGGCAUGUUACAAAAGCACUGCUUAUUGCACAUUUUAAUAUAAAACAGUAUUUUAAAAAUCAUAUAUAUGAAUAUACAGAAAGAAAAACAACACACAAAAGAUAUAGUACACUUUCCAUACAGUGUGUUGAAUUCAAAAUAAUAACAAACAAACAAACAAAAAAUGAACCCACUGUUGGUCAAUACAUUUUACUGUACAAAAUCUCUCAUUAGGCAUGUCCUAAUAAUCAGUUAUACAAUACACUGCAACGUCCAAUACAUAUUAUUAUUAUUAUUAUUAUUCGCGAAGGCAGUUUAGGUAGGCGACAGCUUUUAUGCUCCUAAAAAUAACAUAUUUCCUAUGUAAAAGACUAUGUAAAAGAUGGUUGUUUUAUUGUUGGACAAAUUUACAAAAACGUGGAAUUGUAUACUUUCCUUAAUGACACAAAAACAAACCAAAAAAAAAAAACAACGCACAAACAUUAUGCGUAAUCUGGAGAACAAAAUGGUGGAUAGAACACACUGAUGUUUUGAUGGACUGAGGAUCAUGCUAGAAAAGUUUGAGGUAAUGUUUAAAUCGUGUUUGUCUUUUUCUUUUAAAGUCUUCUUUGUGAUGCAACAUGGAAUUUCAGUUAGCGGUUGAUGCUACGUGUAAGUACGGUGUACUUGUAACUGAACGGAGAUUUUUCUUGAUAAUUUAUCGACAUAUCUGAGGUAAAUGUUGACGUUCCCGUCAGGACCAUCUAAUUUUCGCCGACACUGUACCUUUACGUUGUCCGUAUAAACAACUUCAAGGCUUUACGCUAGCUAAACCUGUAUUUAGCAUGUUUCCUAGACGCCCAGCAACAAGAUCUGUUGUUCUCACGACUUUAACCACCGGUGCGUUUGUCUUCCUGCUUUGCGUUUGAAUGUAACAUGUCCCCAACAAAAGCUUAAACCAUAAUUGAAUGUUGGCACACGAGCUAACGGAGAUGAAAUGUAAAACGGCUAGCGGAGCUCACGGCCUCGGUUCAAUCACUUUUAGAUCUGAAUUAAACGUUAACGGUAUCCGUGGCUCUGUUCAUUCAAUUUACAUCGAUAAAGCUGCUCCCGGUUUUCGCUGAGGGGAAAUGAACUUGAUAUUACGUUUUAAUAUUCCUAAAUUAACAGCAUCAACUGUUAACACUCCGGUCAUCGUGAACGUGGGACGGAGCAGCGUGUUUAGCAUGUGCGUGUUUAGGAUGAAAUGAGAAUUUGAAUUGAACCCAGUGGAAACCCAUUGGACUGCUUCAAGAGGAUCAUGUACAGGGAUGGGGACAGGGGCAGGAAGCAGAGCUUGAAGACAUGAUGCCGCCAUGAUGUUACAGUCCUAAUGUGUGUUUCAUCUCUGGAUAUAUUCAAGUACAACGAGCAACACUGCUCGAUAAGAAGUGUACAUUUAUUAUACAAUACUGUACAGCUACAUAUAUACACGUACUUCUUCUGUAUGGUAGACUAUAUAACCCAUGUACGCCGACCUAUAUAGGUCCUAAUUAUUAACACCACUGUGUUGUGUUUACAUUCAUACCACAAACAUGGAAAAUACUUGUUUCUGAUUGGCUGGCAGGUGUUUGUUAUGUAGGACAGGGAGUAUAGUAUAUAACGGUGUUCCCAGGAUAGAGAAAAUAGUAUAUCCCAGUAUUCCCAGGAUAAGGAAUAUAGUAUAUCCCGGUAUUCCCAGUAUAAGGAACACAGUAUAUCCCAUAUUUCCCAGGAUAAGGAAUAUAGUAUAUCCCAGUAUUCCCAGGAUAAGGAACACGGUAUAUCCCAGUGUUCCCAGGAUAAGGAACACGGUAUAUCCCAGUAUUCCCAGGAUAAGGAACACGGUAUAUCCCAGUAUUCCCAGGAUAAGGAACAUAGUAUAUCCCAGUAUUCCCAGGAUAAGGAAUAUAGUAUUUCCCGGUAUUCCCAGGAUAAGGAACACAAUAUAUCCCAGUAUUCCCAGGAUAAGGAAUAUAGUAUAUCCCAGUAUUCCCAGUAUAAGGAACACAGUAUAUCCCAGUGUUCCCAGGAUAAGGAAUAUAGUAUAUCCCAGUAUUCCCAGUAUAAGGAAUACAGUAUAUCCCAGCAUUCCAGGAUAAGGAAUAUAGUAUAUCCCAGCAUUCCCAGUAAAGGAAC